UACGUAGGGGGCGAGCGUUAUCCGGAUUCACUGGGUGUAAAGGGAGCGUAGACGGCCAAGCAAGCCAGGGGUGAAAGCCCGGGGCCCAACCCCGGGACUGCCCUUGGAACUGCAUGGCUGGAGUGCGGGAGGGGCAGGCGGAAUUCCUGGUGUAGCGGUGAAAUGCGUAGAUAUUAGGAGGAACACCAGUGGCGAAGGCGGCCUACUGGACGGUGACUGACGCUGAGGCUCGAAAGCGUGGGGAGCAAACAGG
This 253-nucleotide ribosomal RNA is filed under the name uncultured bacterium. RNAcentral describes it as "partial 16S ribosomal RNA". It matches the Rfam family "Bacterial small subunit ribosomal RNA", at positions 524 to 776 of the family's 1533-position model. The record is from RNAcentral.